CGGACGGUGAGUAACGCGUGGAAAACCUGCCGUAUACUGGGGGAUAACACUUAGAAAUAGGUGCUAAUACCGCAUAAGCGCACAGCUUCGCAUGAAGCGGUGUGAAAAACUCUGGUGGUAUACGAUGGUUCCGCGUCUGAUUAGCUAGUUGGUGGGGUAAUGGCCUACCAAGGCAACGAUCAGUAGCCGGCCUGAGAGGGUGAACGGCCCACAUUGGGACUGAGACACGGCCCAAACUCCUACGGAAGGCAGCAG
This 255-nucleotide ribosomal RNA is filed under the name uncultured bacterium. Its description in RNAcentral is "partial 16S ribosomal RNA". It matches the Rfam family "Bacterial small subunit ribosomal RNA", at positions 99 to 354 of the family's 1533-position model. The record is from RNAcentral.